AGUGAACGCUGGCGGUAGGCCUAACACAUGCAAGUCGAACGACAGCACAGUAAGAGCUUGCUCUUACGGGUGGCGAGUGGCGGACGGGUGAGGAAUACAUCGGAAUCUACUUUUUCGUGGGGGAUAACGUAGGGAAACUGACGCUAAUACCGCAUACGACCUACGGGUGAAAUCAGGGGAUCUUCGGACCUUGCGCGAUUGAAUGAGCCGAUGUCGGAUUAGCUAGUUGGCGGGGUAAAGGCCCACCAAGGCGACGAUCCGUAGCUGGUCUGAGAGGAUGAUCAGCCACACUGGAACUGAGACACGGUCCAGACUCCUACGGGAGGCAGCAGUGGGGAAUAUUGGACAAUGGGCGCAAGCCUGAUCCAGCCAUACCGCGUGGGUGAAGAAGGCCUUCGGGUUGUAAAGCCCUUUUGUUGGGAAAGAAAAGCAGCAGGUUAAUACCCCGCUGUUCUGACGGUACCCAAAGAAUAAGCACCGGCUAACUUCGUG
RNAcentral lists this ribosomal RNA (492 nucleotides) under uncultured bacterium. Its description in RNAcentral is "partial 16S ribosomal RNA". It matches the Rfam family "Bacterial small subunit ribosomal RNA", at positions 29 to 507 of the family's 1533-position model. The record is from RNAcentral.